CCUACGGGCGGCAGCAGUAGGGAAUCUUCCACAAUGGGCGAAAGCCUGAUGGAGCAACGCCGCGUGGGUGAAGAAGGUCUUCGGAUCGUAAAACCCUGUUGUUAGAGAAGAAAGUGCGUGAGAGUAACUGUUCACGUUUCGACGGUAUCUAACCAGAAAGCCACGGCUAACUACGUGCCAGCAGCCGCGGUAAUACGUAGGUGGCAAGCGUUAUCCGGAUUUAUUGGGCGUAAAGGGAACGCAGGCGGUCUUUUAAGUCUGAUGUGAAAGCCUUCGGCUUAACCGGAGUAGUGCAUUGGAAACUGGGAGACGUGAGUGCAGAAGAGGGAGGUGGAAUUCCAUGUGUAGCGGUGAAAUGCGUAGAUAUAUGGAAGAACACCAGUGGCGAAGGCGGCUCUCUGGUCUGUAACUGACGCUGAGGUUCGAAAGCGUGGGUAGCAAACAGGAUUAGAUACCCGGGUAGUC
This 465-nucleotide ribosomal RNA is filed under the name uncultured bacterium. Its description in RNAcentral is "partial 16S ribosomal RNA". It matches the Rfam family "Bacterial small subunit ribosomal RNA", at positions 338 to 795 of the family's 1533-position model. The record is from RNAcentral.